Molecule: ribosomal RNA, 403 nt
Filed under: uncultured bacterium
Lineage: Bacteria
Description: partial 16S ribosomal RNA
Rfam family: Bacterial small subunit ribosomal RNA
Source: RNAcentral
UGGGAAUUUGGACAAUGGGCGCAAGCCUGAUCCAGCCAUGCCGCGUGCGGGAAGAAGGCCUUCGGGUUGUAAACCGCUUUGUCAGGGAAGAAAUCUUCUGAGUUAAUACCUCGGGAGGAUGACGGUACCUGAAGAAUAAGCACCGGCUAACUACGUGCCAGCAGCCGCGGUAAUACGUAGGGUGCAAGCGUUAAUCGGAAUUACUGGGCGUAAAGCGUGCGCAGGCGGUUUUGUAAGACAGAGGUGAAAUCCCCGGGCUCAACCUGGGAACUGCCUUUGUGACUGCAAGGCUUGAGUGCGGCAGAGGGGGAUGGAAUUCCGCGUGUAGCAGUGAAAUGUGUAGAUAUGCGGAGGAACACCGAUGGCGAAGGCAAUCCCCUGGGCCUGCACUGACGCUCAUGCA